UACGUAGGGGGCAAGCGUUGUCCGGAAUCAUUGGGCGUAAAGAGCGUGUAGGUGGCCCGGUCAGUCCGCCGUGAAAGUCCAGGGCUCAACCCUGGAAUGCCGGUGGAUACUGCCGGGCUGGAGUCCGGAAGAGGCGAGUGGAAUUCCUGGUGUAGCGGUGAAAUGCGCAGAUAUCAGGAGGAACACCAAUGGCGAAGGCAGCUCGCUGGGACGGUACUGACACUGAGACGCGAAAGCGUGGGGAGCGAACAGG
Molecule: ribosomal RNA, 253 nt
Filed under: uncultured bacterium
Lineage: Bacteria
Description: partial 16S ribosomal RNA
Rfam family: Bacterial small subunit ribosomal RNA
Source: RNAcentral